AAAGUCGUAACAAGGUCUCCGUUGGUGAACCAGCGGAGGGAUCAUUAGCGAGUAUAACUCUCUAAAACCAUUGUGAACGAACGUACCGGUUGCUUCGGCGGACGGCUUGCCGCCGCCGAAAGAACUCAACUCUUGUUAUCAUUGUCUCUCUGAGUAAAUUACUUAAUAAGUUAAAACUUUCAACAACGGAUCUCUUGGUUCUG
This 203-nucleotide unclassified non-coding RNA is filed under the name Ascomycota sp. RNAcentral describes it as "partial contains small subunit ribosomal RNA, internal transcribed spacer 1, and 5.8S ribosomal RNA". The stretch from base 1 to 47 matches the Rfam family "Eukaryotic small subunit ribosomal RNA", at positions 1785 to 1831 of the family's 1831-position model. The record is from RNAcentral. Lineage: Eukaryota; Fungi; Ascomycota.